AUGGGAGGACAUCCGAGUCCUCUUGCUUUCGUGGAGCAAAUACUCCAUGUUUGUAUAGUCCUUAGCAAACAUCACAAAGUGAUCCUUUUGUUGUUGAGGUUUCCCUCCAGGGAUUUCUCCAUUAGAAGGCAGUCUCAUAUUCCAUCGCCCUUGAUAGCAGCGUUGCUGCAUUUAAACUUUGGGAAUUGCCAUGAUACUUACAUCUUUUAUUCCCCAAAUUUUAUUUCAAAUAUGCUUAUAUCUACUGUUCUAUACAAUGUGUCUUUAUUUGUUUACGAAAAGUAUUGUUAUGUGAUGGGAGGACAUCCGAGUCCUUCUGCUAUUUUGGAGCAAACAAUACAUGUUUGUAUAUUCCUUAGCAAACAUCACAAAGUGAGCCUUCUGUUGUUGAGGUUUCCCUCCAGGGAUUUCUCCAUUGGAAGGCAGUCUCAUAUUCCAUCGCCCUUGAUAGCAGCGUUGCUGCAUUUAAACUUUGGGAAUUGCCAUGCGACUUACAUCUUUUAUUGUCCAAAUAUUAUUUCAAAUAUGCUUAUACCUACUGUUCUAUACAAUGUGUGCUUAUUUAUCAUGAAAAUUACUGUUAUGUGA
RNAcentral lists this ribosomal RNA (588 nucleotides) under Triticum aestivum (bread wheat). RNAcentral describes it as "partial small subunit ribosomal RNA". Lineage: Eukaryota; Viridiplantae; Streptophyta; Magnoliopsida; Poales; Poaceae. The record is from RNAcentral.